UACGAAGGGUGCAAGCGUUACUCGGAAUUACUGGGCGUAAAGCGUGCGUAGGUGGUUUGUUAAGUCUGAUGUGAAAUCCCCGGGCUCAACCUGGGAAUGGCAUUGGAUACUGGCAGGCUAGAGUGCGGUAGAGGGUGGUGGAAUUCCCGGUGUAGCAGUGAAAUGCGUAGAGAUCGGGAGGAACAUCUGUGGCGAAGGCGGCCACCUGGACCAGCACUGACACUGAGGCACGAAAGCGUGGGGAGCAAACGGG
Molecule: ribosomal RNA, 253 nt
Filed under: uncultured bacterium
Lineage: Bacteria
Description: partial 16S ribosomal RNA
Rfam family: Bacterial small subunit ribosomal RNA
Source: RNAcentral